AGAUUGAACGCUGGCGGCAUGCCUUACACAUGCAAGUCGAACGGCAGCACGGGGGCAACCCUGGUGGCGAGUGGCGAACGGGUGAGUAACAUAUCGGAACGUGCCCUGGAGUGGGGGAUAACUAGUCGAAAGACUAGCUAAUACCGCAUACGAUCUACGGAUGAAAGUGGGGGAUCGCAAGACCUCAUGCUCGUGGAGCGGCCGAUAUCUGAUUAGCUAGUUAGGUGGGGUAAAGGCCUACCAGGCAUCGAUCAGUAGCUGGUCUGAGAGGACGACAGCCACACUGGGACUGACGACACGGCCCAGACUCCUACGGGAGGCAGCAGUGGGUAAUUUGGACAAGUCGGGGGAAACCCUGACUCCAGCCACUCCCGCGUGGUCGCGAGUAGGAACGGUCCGUUGGUU
This 405-nucleotide ribosomal RNA is filed under the name uncultured soil bacterium. RNAcentral's name for it is "bacterial SSU rRNA". It matches the Rfam family "Bacterial small subunit ribosomal RNA", at positions 26 to 441 of the family's 1533-position model. The record is from RNAcentral.